UCACGUAUUGCCUCUAGAGCAUUAUUGAAGAAGUACAGAGUAUUCGUCCGCUCUGGGUAUUUGAACGCCUGCGGGAUGCUUACGACACAAGUCGAACGUGCCACGAUCUCGGUCUGUGCGAAGUGGCAGUCGGAAGGAAAAGUUUUUGUAUCAGAACGUGCCUAGUAGCGGGGGAUAACUACGCGAAAGCGUAGCUAAUACCGCAUACGCCCUUCGGGGAAAGCGGGGACCUUCGGGCCUCGCACUAUUAGAGCGGCCGAUAUCGGAUUAGCUAGUUGGUGGGGUAACGGCUCACCAAGGCGACGAUCCGUAGCUGGUUUGAGAGGACGACCAGCCACACUGGGACUGAGACACGGGCUCCAGACUCCUACGGGGAGGCAGCAGUGGGGAAUUUGGACAAUGGGGAAACCCCUGAUCCAGCCAUCCCGCGUGUGCGAUGAAGGCUCUUCGGGUUGUAAAAGCACUUUUGGCAGGAAGAAACGGCACGGGAUAAUACCCGUGCAACUGACGGUACCUGCAGAAUAAGCACCGGCUAACUACGUGCCAGCAGCCGCGGUAAUACGUAGGGUGCAAGCGCGUUAAUCGGAAUUACCGGGCGUAAAGCGUACGCAGGCGGGUUCAAAUAAGAUGCGGAAUCCCAGAGCUUAACUUUGGAACUGCAUUUUUAACUACCGAGCUAGGAGUGUGUCAGAGGGAGGUGGAAUUCCGCGGGCAGUGAAAUGCGUAGAUAUGCGAGGAACACCGAUGGCGAAGGCAGCCUCCUGGGAUAACACUGACGCUCAUGCACGAAAGCGUGGGAGCAAACAGGAUUAGAUACCUCUGGUAGUCCACGCCCUAAACGAUGUCAACUAGCUGUUGGGGCCUUCUUCGGGCCUUGGUAGCGCAGCUAAUCGCGUGAAGUUGACCGCCUGGGGAGUACGGUCGCAAGAUUAAAAACUCAAAGGAAUUGACGGGGACCCGCACAAGCGGUGGAUGAUGUGGAUUAAUUCGAUGCAACGCGAAAACCUUACCUACCCUUGACAUGUCUGGAAUCCUGAAGAGAUUUGGGAGUGCUCGCAAGAGAACCGGAACACAGGUGCUGCAUGGCUACUGUCAGCUCGUGUCGAGAUGUUGGGUUAAGUCCCGCAACGAGCGCAACCCUUGUCAUUAGUUGCUACGAAAGGGCACUCUAAUGAGACUGCCGGUGACAAACCGGAGGAAGGUGGGAUGACGUCAAGUCCUCAUGGCCCUUAUGGUAGGCUUCACACGUCAUACAAUGGUCGGGACAGAGGGUCGCCAACCCGCGAGGGGGAGCCAAUCCCAGAAACCUGAUCGUAGUCCGAUCGUAGUCUGCAACUCGACUGCGUGAAGUCGGAAUCGCUAGUAAUCGCGGAUCAGCAUGUCGCGUAGAAUACGUUCCCGGGUCUUGUACACACCGCCCGUCACACCAUGGGAGUGGGUUUUACCAGAAGUAGUUAGCCUUAACCGUAAGGAGGGCGAUUACCACGGUAGGAUUCAUGAUUGGGGUGAAGUCGUAACAAGGUAA
Molecule: ribosomal RNA, 1525 nt
Filed under: uncultured Bordetella sp.
Lineage: Bacteria; Pseudomonadati; Pseudomonadota; Betaproteobacteria; Burkholderiales; Alcaligenaceae
Description: partial 16S-23S ribosomal RNA intergenic spacer
Rfam family: Bacterial small subunit ribosomal RNA
Source: RNAcentral